Molecule: ribosomal RNA, 441 nt
Filed under: uncultured bacterium
Lineage: Bacteria
Description: partial 16S ribosomal RNA
Rfam family: Bacterial small subunit ribosomal RNA
Source: RNAcentral
CCUACGGGAGGCAGCAGUAGGGAAUCUUGCGCAAUGGGCGAAAGCCUGACGCAGCAACGCCGCGUGAUUGAUUAAGCCCUUCGGGGUGUAAAGAUCUGUCAGUGGGGACGAAACUUGACGGUACCCACAGAGGAAGCACCGGCUAACUCCGUGCCAGCAGCCGCGGUAAUACGGAGGGUGCAAGCGUUGUCCGGAAGCAUUGGGCGUAAAGCGUUCGUAGGUGGCAUAUUAGGUCUGGUGUUAAAUGAAGAAGCUCAACUUCUGUUCGGCACUGGAUACUGGUAAGCGUGAAUGCGGAAGAGGUAAAGGGAAUUCCUGGUGUAGCGGUGAAAUGCGUAGAUAUCAGGAGGAACAUCGGUGGGGUAAGCGCUUUACUGGGCCGUAAUUGACACUGAGGAACGAAAGCCGGGGUAGCAAAUGGGAUUAGAUACCCCUGUAGUC